AUUGAACGCUGGCGGCAUGCCUUACACAUGCAAGUCGAACGGCAGCGGGGGAGGAGCUUGCUUUUCCUGCCGGCGAGUGGCGAACGGGUGAGUAAUACAUCGGAACGUGCCCUGUAGUGGGGGAUAACUAGUCGAAAGAUUAGCUAAUACCGCAUACGACCUGAGGGUGAAAGUGGGGGACCGUAAGGCCUCAUGCUAUAGGAGCGGCCGAUGUCUGAUUAGCCAGUUGGUGGGGUAAAGGCCUACCAAGGCGACGAUCAGUAGCUGGUCUGAGAGGACGAUCAGCCACACUGGGACUGAGACACGGCCCAGACUCCUACGGGAGGCAGCAGUGGGGAAUUUUGGACAAUGGGCGAAAGCCUGAUCCAGCAAUGCCGCGUGUGUGAAGAAGGCCUUCGGGUUGUAAAGCACUUUUGUCCGGAAAGAAAUGGCUCUGGUUAAUACCUGGGGUCGAUGACGGUACCGGAAGAAUAAGGACCGGCUAACUACGUGCCAGCCGCCGCAGUAA
Molecule: ribosomal RNA, 508 nt
Filed under: uncultured bacterium
Lineage: Bacteria
Description: partial 16S ribosomal RNA
Rfam family: Bacterial small subunit ribosomal RNA
Source: RNAcentral